GAUGAACGCUGGCGGCGUGCCUAAUACAUGCAAGUCGAGCGAACAGACGAGGAGCUUGCUCCCCUGACGUUAGCGGCGGACGGGUGAGUAACACGUGGAUAACCUACCUAUACGACUGGGAUAACUUCGGGAAACCGGAGCUAAUACCGGAUAAUAUAUUGAACCGCAUUGUUCAAUAGUUAAAUACGGUUUUUCUGUCACUUAUAGCUGGAUCCGCCCCGCAUUAGCUAGUUGGCAAGGUAACGGCUUACCAAGGCAACGAUGCGUAACCGACCCGAGCGCGAGGUUCGCCACACUGGAACUGAGACACGUUAGAGACACCUACAGGGAGCAACAGUAGAGAAUCUUACGCGAUGGAGGAAAGCUUGACGGAGCAACGCCGCGUAAAGGCUGAAGGUCUUCUGAUCGUAGAGCGCUGAUGGUAGUGAAGAAGUAAUGUGUAAGUAACUAUGAACGUAUUGACAGUACCUAAUCAGAAAGCCACGGCUAACUACGUG
This 497-nucleotide ribosomal RNA is filed under the name uncultured bacterium. RNAcentral's name for it is "partial 16S ribosomal RNA". It matches the Rfam family "Bacterial small subunit ribosomal RNA", at positions 28 to 507 of the family's 1533-position model. The record is from RNAcentral.